Molecule: ribosomal RNA, 253 nt
Filed under: uncultured bacterium
Lineage: Bacteria
Description: partial 16S ribosomal RNA
Rfam family: Bacterial small subunit ribosomal RNA
Source: RNAcentral
UACGUAGGGGGCGAGCGUUGUCCGGAUUCAUUGGGCGUAAAGGGUGCGUAGGCGGCCGUGCAAGUCUGGCGUGAAAGCCCCGGGCUCAGCCCGGGAAGUGCGCUCGAAACUGCGCGGCUCGAGUGCCGGAGGGGAGAGUGGAAUUCCUGGUGUAGCGGUGAAAUGCGUAGAUAUCAGGAGGAAUACCGGUGGCGAAAGCGACUCUCUGGACGGCAACUGACGCUGAGGCACGAAAGCGUGGGGAGCAAACAGG